AUGCCUAAUACAUGCAAGUCGAUCGGAUGUAGCAAUACAUUAGAGGCGAACGGGUGAGUAACACGUAUCCAAUCUGCCUUAUAGUGGGGGAUAACUAGUCGAAAGAUUAGCUAAUACCGCAUAACAAGUUAACUAUCGCAUGAGAAUAACUUUAAAGAAGCAACUGCUUCGCUAUAAGAUGAGGGUGCGGCAUAUCAGCUAGUUGGUGAGGGUAAUGGCCCACCAAGGCGAUGACGUGUAGUUAUGCUGAGAGGUAGAAUAACCACAAUGGGACUGAGACACGGCCCAUACUCCUACGGGAGGCAGCAGUAGGGAAUUUUUCACAAUGGACGAAAGUCUGAUGGAGCAAUGCCGCGUGAACGAUGAAGGUCUUUUUAGAUUGUAAAGUUCUUUUAUUUGGGAAGAACAGUUAGUAGAGUGGAAAGCUAUUAAUUUGACUGUACCAUUUGAAUAAGUAACGACUAACUAUGUGCCAGCAGUCGCGGUAAUACAUAGGUUGCAAGCGUUAUCCGGAUUUAUUGGUAAAACAAGCGCAGGCGGAUUAGAAAGUCUGGUGUUAAAAGCAAUUGCUUAACGAUUGUAUGCAUUGGAAACUUCUAGUCUAGAGUUUGGUAGAGAGUCCUGGAACUCCAUGUGGAGCGGUGAAAUGCGUAGAUAUAUGGAAGAACACCAGAGGCGAAGGCGAGGACUUGGGCCAAUACUGACGCUUAGGCUUGAAAGUGUGGGGAGCAAAUAGGAUUAGAUACCCUAGUAGUCCACACUGUAAACGAUGGAUGUUAAGUGUCGGAGCGAAUACUUCGGUGCUGCAGUUAACACAUUAAACAUCCUGAAGAGUAGUACAUUCGCAAGAAUGAAACUCAAACGGAAUUGACGGGGACCCGCACAAGUGGUGGAGCAUGUUGCUUAAUUCGACGGUACACGAAAAACCUUACCUAGACUUGACAUCUUGGGCGAAGCUAUAGAAAUAUAGUGGAGGUCAACCCAAUGACAGGUGGUGCAUGGUUGUCGUCAGCUCGUGUCGUGAGAUGUUGGGUUAAGU
This 1039-nucleotide ribosomal RNA is filed under the name Mycoplasmoides gallisepticum. Its description in RNAcentral is "bacterial SSU rRNA". It matches the Rfam family "Bacterial small subunit ribosomal RNA", at positions 44 to 1085 of the family's 1533-position model. The record is from RNAcentral. Lineage: Bacteria; Bacillati; Mycoplasmatota; Mycoplasmoidales; Mycoplasmoidaceae.